Molecule: ribosomal RNA, 497 nt
Filed under: uncultured bacterium
Lineage: Bacteria
Description: partial 16S ribosomal RNA
Rfam family: Bacterial small subunit ribosomal RNA
Source: RNAcentral
GAUGAACGCUGGCGGCGUGCCUAAUACAUGCAAGUCGAGCGAACGGACGAGAAGCUUGCUUCUCUGAUGUUAGCGGCGGACGGGUGAGUAACACGUGGAUAACCUACCUAUAAGACUGGGAUAACUUCGGGAAACCGGAGCUAAUACCGGAUAAUAUUUUGAACCGCAUGGUUCAAAAGUGAAAGACGUUCUUGCUGUCACUUAUAGAUGGAUCCGCGCUGCAUUAGCUAGUUGGUAAGGUAACGGCUUACCAAGGCAACGAUGCAUAGCCGACCUGAGAGGGUGAUCGGCCACACUGGAACUGAGACACGGUCCAGACUCCUACGGGAGGCAGCAGUAGGGAAUCUUCCGCAAAGGGCGAAAGCCUGACGGAGCAACGCCGCGUGAGUGAUGAAGGUCUUCGGAUCGUAAAACUCUGUUAUUAGGGAAGAACAUAUGUGUAAGUAACUGUGCACAUCUUGACGGUACCUAAUCAGAAAGCCACGGCUAACUACGUG